GACGAACGCUGGCGGUGUGCUUAACACAUGCAAGUCGAACGGAAAGGCCCUGCUUUUGUGGGGUGCUCGAGUGGCGAACGGGUGAGUAACACGUGAGUAACCUGCCCCUGACUUUGGGAUAACUUCAGGAAACUGGGGCUAAUACCGGAUAGGAGCUCCUGCUGCAUGGUGGGGGUUGGAAAGUUUCGGCGGUUGGGGAUGGACUCGCGUCUUAUCAGCUUGUUGGUGGGGUAGUGGCUUACCAAGGCUUUGACGGGUAGCCGGCCUGAGAGGGUGACCGGCCACAUUAGGACUGAGAUACGGCCCAGACUCCUACGGGAGGCAGCAGUGGAGAAUAUUGCACAAUGGGAGGAGGCCUGAUGCGGCAACGCCGCGUGCGGGAUGACGGCCUUCGGGUUGUAAACCGCUUUCGCCUGUGACGAAGCGUGAGUGACGGUAAUGGGUAAAGAAGCACCGGCUAACUACGUG
Molecule: ribosomal RNA, 468 nt
Filed under: uncultured bacterium
Lineage: Bacteria
Description: partial 16S ribosomal RNA
Rfam family: Bacterial small subunit ribosomal RNA
Source: RNAcentral